CGGAACGUGGCGCAGUCUGGUAGCGCACUUGACUGGGGGUCAAGGGGUCGGAGGUUCAAAUCCUCUCGUUCCGACCA
RNAcentral lists this transfer RNA (77 nucleotides) under Candidatus Electrothrix aarhusensis. Its description in RNAcentral is "tRNA-Pro(ggg)". It matches the Rfam family "tRNA". From Rfam's summary of the family: Transfer RNA (tRNA) molecules are approximately 80 nucleotides in length. Their secondary structure includes four short double-helical elements and three loops (D, anti-codon, and T loops). Further hydrogen bonds mediate the characteristic L-shaped molecular structure. tRNAs have two regions of fundamental functional importance: the anti-codon, which is responsible for specific mRNA codon recognition, and the 3' end, to which the tRNAs corresponding amino acid is attached (by aminoacyl-tRNA synthetases). tRNAs cope with the degeneracy of the genetic code in two manners: having more than one tRNA (with a specific anti-codon) for a particular amino acid; and 'wobble' base-pairing, i.e. permitting non-standard base-pairing at the 3rd anti-codon position. RNAcentral also lists the same sequence under 6 other names. Lineage: Bacteria; Pseudomonadati; Thermodesulfobacteriota; Desulfobulbia; Desulfobulbales; Desulfobulbaceae. The record is from RNAcentral.